RNAcentral lists this ribosomal RNA (2036 nucleotides) under Lactiplantibacillus pentosus. RNAcentral's name for it is "Lactobacillus pentosus partial 23S ribosomal RNA". It matches the Rfam family "Bacterial large subunit ribosomal RNA", at positions 26 to 2110 of the family's 2925-position model. Lineage: Bacteria; Bacillati; Bacillota; Bacilli; Lactobacillales; Lactobacillaceae. The record is from RNAcentral.
GGAUGCCUUGGCAGUUGGAGGCGAUGAAGGACGUACUAACUUGCGAUAAGCCUAGUUGAGCCAGUAAGAGGCGCUUGAGACUAGGAUUUCCGAAUGGGGAAACCCACCUAUUUAUAGGUAUCGUUAACUGAAUACAUAGGUUAACGAGGCGAACCGGGAGAACUGAAACAUCUUAGUAACCCGAGGAAAAGAAAUCAACCGAGAUUCCGUUAGUAGUGGCGAGCGAACGCGGACCAGCCCUUAAGCUGAGUUGUAGUUAGUGGAAUAUGUUGGAAAGCAUAACGGUACAGGGUGAUAGUCCCGUACACAAAAACUUAUACACAGUGAAAUCGAGUAGGACGGGGCACGUGAAACCUUGUCUGAAUAUGGGGGGACCAUCCUCCAAGGCUAAAUACUCCCAACUGACCGAUAGUGAACCAGUACCGUGAGGGAAAGGCGAAAAGAACCCCUGUAAGGGGAGUGAAAUAGAACCUGAAACCGUGUACGUACAAGCAGUAGGAGCCCUUCGAGGGUGACUGCGUACCUUUUGUAUAAUGGGUCAGCGACUUAUAUUCUGUAGCAAGGUUAACCGAAUAGGGUAGCCGUAGCGAAAGCGAGUCUUAACUGGGCGCUUAGUUGCAGGGUAUAGACCCGAAACCCGGUGAUCUAGCCAUGGGCAGGUUGAAGGUUGAGUAACAUCAACUGGAGGACCGAACCCACUCCCUUUGAAAAGGUAGGGGAUGACUUGUGGAUCGGAGUGAAAGGCUAAUCAAGCCGGGAGAUAGCUGGUUCUCCCCGAAAUCUAUUUAGGUAGAGCCUCGGACGAACACCUAUGGGGGUAGAGCACUGUUAAGGCUAGGGGGUCAUCCCGACUUACCAACCCUUUGCAAACUCCGAAUACCAUAGAGUGAUAUCCGGGAGACACACGGCGGGUGCUAACGUCCGUCGUGAAGAGGGAAACAACCCAGACCGCCAGCUAAGGUCCCAAAGUGUAUGUUAAGUGGGAAACGAUGUGGGAAGGCUAAAACAGCUAGGAGGUUGGCUUAGAAGCAGCCAUCCUUUAAAGAAAGCGUAAUAGCUCACUAGUCGAGUCGGCCUGCGCGGAAGAUGUAACGGGGCUAAACAUACCACCGAAGCUACGGCUGCACACGUAAGUGUGCGGGGUAGGGGAGCGUUCUGUAAGCCGUUGAAGGUGUGCCGGGAGGCAUGCUGGAGGUAUCAGAAGUGCGAAUGCUGACAUGAGUAACGAUAAUGCGGGUGAAAAACCCGCACGCCGGAAGACCAAGGGUUCCUAUCCCAUGUUAAUCAGGGUAGGGUGAGUCGACCCCUAAGGCGAGGCUGAAAGGCGUAGUCGAUGGGAAACGGGUUAAUAUUCCCGUACUUGAUAUGAAUGCGAUGGGGGGACGGAGGAGGCUAGGCAAGCACGGCGUUGGUUGUCCGUGUGAAAGUAUGUAGGCUGGUGACUUAGGCAAAUCCGGGUCGCUAAAGCUGAGAUACGAGACGAGUCACUACGGUGACGAAGUUGUUGAUGCCCUACUUCCAGGAAAAGCCUCUAAGCUUCAGUUCAUAUUGAAUCGUACCCGAAACCGACACAGGUGGUCAGGUAGAGAAUACUAAGGCGCUUGAGAGAACUCGGGUGAAGGAACUAGGCAAAAUGGUACCGUAACUUCGGGAGAAGGUACGCUCUUGUCUGUUAAGCCCUCGCGGUGUAAGCAGACGGGAGUCGCAGAGAAUAGGUAGCUGGAACUGUUUAUUAAAAACACAGCACUGUGCAAAAUCGUAAGAUGACGUAUACGGUGUGACGCCUGCCCGGUGCCGGAAGGUUAAUUGAUGGGGUUAGCGCAAGCGAAGCUCUUGAUCGAAGCCCCGGUAAACGGCGGCCGUAACAAUAACGGUCCUAAGGUAGCGAAAUUCCUUGUCGGGUAAGUUCCGACCUGCACGAAUGGCGUAAUCAUGGCCACGCUGUCUCCACCCGAGACUCAGUGAAAUUGAAAUCGCAGUGAAGAUGCUGUGUACCCGCGGCUAGACGGAAAGACCCCGUGAACCUUUACUAUAGC